This 829-nucleotide ribosomal RNA is filed under the name Ochrolechia tartarea. RNAcentral's name for it is "partial large subunit ribosomal RNA". The stretch from base 1 to 487 matches the Rfam family "Bacterial large subunit ribosomal RNA", at positions 874 to 1301 of the family's 2925-position model. Lineage: Eukaryota; Fungi; Ascomycota; Lecanoromycetes; Pertusariales; Ochrolechiaceae. The record is from RNAcentral.
UGUUUGCCCCAAAAAAUUUGCAUUUAUAGUGUAUUUUUUCGAUUGGGGGGGCGUGAAAACCCUAUUUGUGGGUACUUGCACUCGGAAGGGCCAAGAUGAAUGUUAGGUAGUCAGACAUAGUACGAUAAGGUUGUAUGUCUAAAGGGAAACAGCCCAGAACAAGAGUUAAUAAGGUUCCAAAAUUAUUGUUAAGUGAAAAUAAGGAAGUAUUUAUCCAAUUCGGCCAGGAAAUAGGCUUAGGAGCGGCCACAAUUUAAAGACCUCGUAGCAGAGCACUGGUUCAGUAAGCUGUAUAACAUACGCUUUACAACAAAAAAGUAAAAGCACCGAAAAUUUAACGGAUCUAAACAAUAUACCGAGACCUUGUCCAUAUUUGGUAAUAUAUAUAUGUUAUAUAUUCUAUACAUGGGGUAGCAGAACAUUGGGCAAAUAUUAGAUUUUUCCUUCUAUAGGACUAUAAUUAUAUAACCCAAGUGAUAAUGCUGACAUGAGUAACGAUAAAGGGUAUUUUUAUACCCUCGCCUUAAGCUUAUGGUAUUUACUUAAAGUAACGGCCUCUAAGUUUAUAUUUUAUAUAUAACAGUAAACUACAAAUGUAAAUAAACUAAAAAGAUGAUACAAAUGCAAGGGCUGCCUAUAUAGCGAAGCCCUAAAGGACUAAACGAUGAGAAAAUCUAGUAGGGUCUACUGCUAAAUAACCUUUGUGCGCGAGAUAUCCGACACUUUACCUGGGUCACCUGUGUAAAUUAAUUUAGGAUAUUUUGUGUUAGAGUGACGGAGUGUUCCGGAAAACUUUAGACCCAGCAAGGGGUAAUGCCCAUGUUAUUGA